UACGGAGGGUGCGAGCGUUGUCCGGAAUCACUGGGCGUAAAGCGCGUGUAGGUGGUGGGACAAGUCUGCUGUGAAAGCGCCUGGCUUAACCGGGCGAGGUCGGCGGAAACUGUUCGACUCGAGGACGGUAGAGGGGGGUGGAAUUCCCGGUGUAGUGGUGAAAUGCGUAGAGAUCGGGAGGAACACCUGUGGCGAAGGCGGCCCCCUGGGCCGGCCCUGACACUGAGACGCGAAGGCGUGGGGAGCGAACGGG
This 253-nucleotide ribosomal RNA is filed under the name uncultured bacterium. Its description in RNAcentral is "partial 16S ribosomal RNA". It matches the Rfam family "Bacterial small subunit ribosomal RNA", at positions 524 to 776 of the family's 1533-position model. The record is from RNAcentral.